UUCCUUUGAAAUGUUUGGACGCCCAAGGUCACUGCUAUUGAAGUACAAAAUGGCUUCACACUGCAUUUCACAGUUUCGUCCACCACGGCCAAUAUGCUAUUUUGGGGAAGACCAGCAUGUAUUACCUGGGCUACAUGCCGCAGGUCUGCCCCCAUCCCCAGUGCUACAGUAGCAAUUAUAACUUUCACGGGACUCUCUUUUGGAUCUUGUGCCAGAUUCUUAAAUAUGAUAUCCUUGAGCUGAAAUUCAUUUAUUAAAAUUUAGUAUGAGACAAUAUUCAACUCAUCUCCUUUUUCCAAACCAGAAUGGAACAUCACUACCCUGAGAUUCUCUGGACAUCUCCGCCCAUCACCACCAUAAAUACUAUCUCGAAGGAUUCUUCCCACAAGUUCAUGCCCGUUGCCCACCCAAUCCAUGUUCCCGCAGCAGUAUAUCAGUUUAAGAGGAUAAUCUUGAUUUUUUUUCUUAAGUUCACAGAAAACAGACUCGAACACAUAGUCAAAAGCCUUUUGUACGGAUUUGUUUUUCCCAACACCAGGUCUCUUUUUUUAUAAGUUUAAUGUUAUCUUUUGUUGGAACUGUGAUAAUGGACACAUACUGGGUCAUCAGCAGGUGCUGGGCAACAUUUUUCUGGCCAUCUGUGGACAAAGUAGCACUUAAUGCCAGCACUUGAACAUUCGGUACUACAGCUCUUGCAUGUAAAUUGAUUUCUCUAAAAACAGGACGGAAUCCCCCCCCCCCCAGUCUAGAAUACAGUGUGCCUCAUCGACAGCAAUAUAUGAUUUCUGAAGACAGGAGCGUAGAGCUUUAUAUACAGCUUUGUUACCAAUGAUGUUUUCAGGAUGAGAAAAAAUAUAUGUGUAAGUAUCUGAUGCAAUUUUGUCAAUUUCACUUUCAUUCAUUUUGUUUUUUAAGCAAAUGCUGGUGUUUUCCCAAGUUUACUCAGUUGCUGCUCUAUAAUGAUGUUAAGAGGUUCAAUGAUUAACACAAAAACAUCCACCUUAGUUUCUUCUUUGUAAGCUAUAGGUAAAAGUUCAUAUAUUAGACUUUUCCCAUAACCGGUCGGCAACAUACAUACCACAUCUGUCUGUUCAUUAACCAGCAGUUUGAGUGCUUCCUUUUGUUUAGAUUUUAGGCAUGUUAUAUUACAAUUAAAGGUGCUGUUGUACGUGUUUA
This is a long non-coding RNA of Saccostrea cuccullata (small rock oyster), 1176 nucleotides long. RefSeq lists it as uncharacterized. The transcript has 3 exons. The record is from RefSeq and is a predicted model, not a curated record. Lineage: Eukaryota; Metazoa; Mollusca; Bivalvia; Ostreida; Ostreidae.